This is a non-coding RNA of Glycine max (soybean), 291 nucleotides long. NCBI's taxonomy places the organism in Eukaryota, Viridiplantae, Streptophyta, Magnoliopsida, Fabales, Fabaceae. The record is from Rfam.
GCCCAGCUGAGAUACGCUAGCAUGUGACUCAUGUGGGGCACCAAAGUGAUGAUGGAACAACUCUUUGGCUUUGCUAGGUUGAGUUGUGGCCCCACCUGCACGCCGAGUUGAAUCAUGGGACUUAAGCGAAGGCAUAAGUCUCCUGGUUUCUAAAUGGAGAGCAAUGCGUGGGGUUGGUUUUACAAAGCAGCAAACACUUCCUACUCCCAAUAGUGGUGGGAUAACAGGUUGCUGCAAACUCAAUCCACAAUGGCCUAGUGAUCGAGUGUAGAUGCUUGGACCAUCACUUUU